CUAUCUCAUUUCCUUUGUGAAUAACACAAACUGCUCUGUGUGUGUGCACAGGUGAGAUGGGAAUGCUGGAGGGAGAGAUGUUUUCAAUUGUCCUCUCCUGACACGGCUUGAAGAUCUAAUCUCAGGAAUGACACAGGAAUCUGAGAGUCUGCUACAAUGGCAGCGGCGGUGUGUGCUUCACAGGAGGGACUACAAGCCAUGCUCCACUCGUCCAUCUUUGGUGAUCAGAUCAUCGGUGGCGUUGUCGGCUGGAUACCCAGGUCUGUUUUUGGUGGGAAAUGAUUGAACUCUUCAAGAACACUCUUCACAUCACUCAGCUGCACAUGGCCGGUCUGCUGCAGGGUGUCAAGAUGGCAAGCCAAGCCCGUAACUGACAGCCCAGGUGAGCUUAGAGUAUUUUUUAUAAGUUUUUAUAAGUUAUAAGUUAAACACUUGUUAUUUGA
Molecule: long non-coding RNA, 443 nt
Filed under: Astyanax mexicanus (Mexican tetra)
Lineage: Eukaryota; Metazoa; Chordata; Actinopteri; Characiformes; Acestrorhamphidae
Description: lncRNA (ENSAMXG00005022843.1)
Source: RNAcentral